GUGCUCGCUUUGGCAGCACAUAUACUAAAAUUGGAACGAUACAGAGAAGAUUAGCAGGGCCCCUGCGCAAGGAGAGAUUCUAUUCAAGAAUGGUGGUCAAUGGCCUC
This is a small nuclear RNA of Chionomys nivalis (European snow vole), 107 nucleotides long. The record is from RefSeq and is a predicted model, not a curated record. NCBI's taxonomy places the organism in Eukaryota, Metazoa, Chordata, Mammalia, Rodentia, Cricetidae.